RNAcentral lists this ribosomal RNA (3103 nucleotides) under Salmonella enterica subsp. enterica. RNAcentral describes it as "partial 23S ribosomal RNA". It matches the Rfam family "Bacterial large subunit ribosomal RNA". The record is from RNAcentral. Lineage: Bacteria; Pseudomonadati; Pseudomonadota; Gammaproteobacteria; Enterobacterales; Enterobacteriaceae.
GGGUUGUGAGGUUAAGCGACUAAGCGUACACGGUGGAUGCCCUGGCAGUCAGAGGCGAUGAAGGACGUGCUAAUCUGCGAUAAGCGCCGGUAAGGUGAUAUGAACCGUUAUAACCGGCGAUUUCCGAAUGGGGAAACCCAGUGUGAUUCGUCACACUAUCAUUAACUGAAUCCAUAGGUUAAUGAGGCGAACCGGGGGAACUGAAACAUCUAAGUACCCCGAGGAAAAGAAAUCAACCGAGAUUCCCCCAGUAGCGGCGAGCGAACGGGGAGGAGCCCAGAGCCUGAAUCAGCAUGUGUGUUAGUGGAAGCGUCUGGAAAGGCGCGCGAUACAGGGUGACAGCCCCGUACACAAAAGCGCAUGUGCUGUGAGCUCGAUGAGUAGGGCGGGACACGUGGUAUCCUGUCUGAAUAUGGGGGGACCAUCCUCCAAGGCUAAAUACUCCUGACUGACCGAUAGUGAACCAGUACCGUGAGGGAAAGGCGAAAAGAACCCCGGCGAGGGGAGUGAAAAAGAACCUGAAACCGUGUACGUACAAGCAGUGGGAGCCCCACCACUAAGCCAGUGGUGAACUCCACAUCCGCAUCCUUUGCUGAGGAUACGGUUAACGGAGCGAAAGCGACGUUCAACCGCAAAACAAGCAGAGGGGGCUUAGUGGUGGGGUGACUGCGUACCUUUUGUAUAAUGGGUCAGCGACUUAUAUUCUGUAGCAAGGUUAACCGAAUAGGGGAGCCGGAGGGAAACCGAGUCUUAAUUGGGCGUUAAGUUGCAGGGUAUAGACCCGAAACCCGGUGAUCUAGCCAUGGGCAGGUUGAAGGUUGGGUAACACUAACUGGAGGACCGAACCGACUAAUGUUGAAAAAUUAGCGGAUGACCUGUGGCUGGGGGUGAAAGGCCAAUCAAACCGGGAGAUAGCUGGUUCUCCCCGAAAGCUAUUUAGGUAGCGCCUCGUGAAUUCAUCUCCGGGGGUAGAGCACUGUUUCGGCUAGGGGGCCAUCCCGGCUUACCAACCCGAUGCAAACUGCGAAUACCGGAGAAUGUUAUCACGGGAGACACACGGCGGGUGCUAACGUCCGUCGUGAAGAGGGAAACAACCCAGACCGCCAGCUAAGGUCCCAAAGUCAUGGUUAAGUGGGAAACGAUGUGGGAAGGCCCAGACAGCCAGGAUGUUGGCUUAGAAGCAGCCAUCAUUUAAAGAAAGCGUAAUAGCUCACUGGUCGAGUCGGCCUGCGCGGAAGAUGUAACGGGGCUAAACCAUGCACCGAAGCUGCGGCAGCGAACGUAUCACCCAAGACAACUUUACGGAGUUGACGAUUGACGGAGCGAAGCGACGUCAAAGCGUUCAUUAAAGUCGAGUUGGCUUAGGGAUACGUUCGUUGGGUAGGGGAGCGUUCUGUAAGCCUGUGAAGGUGUGUCGUGAGGCAUGCUGGAGGUAUCAGAAGUGCGAAUGCUGACAUAAGUAACGAUAAAGCGGGUGAAAAGCCCGCUCGCCGGAAGACCAAGGGUUCCUGUCCAACGUUAAUCGGGGCAGGGUGAGUCGACCCCUAAGGCGAGGCCGAAAGGCGUAGUCGAUGGGAAACGGGUUAAUAUUCCCGUACUUGGUGUUACUGCGAAGGGGGGACGGAGAAGGCUAUGUUGGCCGGGCGACGGUUGUCCCGGUUUAAGCGUGUAGGUGUGUGUUCCAGGUAAAUCCGGUUCACUUUAACACUGAGGCGUGACGACGAGGCACUACGGUGCUGAAGCAACAAAUGCCCUGCUUCCAGGAAAAGCCUCUAAGCAUCAGGUAACACGAAAUCGUACCCCAAACCGACACAGGUGGUCAGGUAGAGAAUACCAAGGCGCUUGAGAGAACUCGGGUGAAGGAACUAGGCAAAAUGGUGCCGUAACUUCGGGAGAAGGCACGCUGACACGUAGGUGAAGUGAUUUACUCAUGGAGCUGAAGUCAGUCGAAGAUACCAGCUGGCUGCAACUGUUUAUUAAAAACACAGCACUGUGCAAACACGAAAGUGGACGUAUACGGUGUGACGCCUGCCCGGUGCCGGAAGGUUAAUUGAUGGGGUCAGCGCAAGCGAAGCUCCUGAUCGAAGCCCCGGUAAACGGCGGCCGUAACUAUAACGGUCCUAAGGUAGCGAAAUUCCUUGUCGGGUAAGUUCCGACCUGCACGAAUGGCGUAAUGAUGGCCAGGCUGUCUCCACCCGAGACUCAGUGAAAUUGAACUCGCUGUGAAGAUGCAGUGUACCCGCGGCAAGACGGAAAGACCCCGUGAACCUUUACUAUAGCUUGACACUGAACAUUGAGCCUUGAUGUGUAGGAUAGGUGGGAGGCUUUGAAGUGUGGACGCCAGUCUGCAUGGAGCCGACCUUGAAAUACCACCCUUUAAUGUUUGAUGUUCUAACGUGGACCCGUAAUCCGGGUUGCGGACAGUGUCUGGUGGGUAGUUUGACUGGGGCGGUCUCCUCCUAAAGAGUAACGGAGGAGCACGAAGGUUGGCUAAUCCUGGUCGGACAUCAGGAGGUUAGUGCAAUGGCAUAAGCCAGCUUGACUGCGAGCGUGACGGCGCGAGCAGGUGCGAAAGCAGGUCAUAGUGAUCCGGUGGUUCUGAAUGGAAGGGCCAUCGCUCAACGGAUAAAAGGUACUCCGGGGAUAACAGGCUGAUACCGCCCAAGAGUUCAUAUCGACGGCGGUGUUUGGCACCUCGAUGUCGGCUCAUCACAUCCUGGGGCUGAAGUAGGUCCCAAGGGUAUGGCUGUUCGCCAUUUAAAGUGGUACGCGAGCUGGGUUUAGAACGUCGUGAGACAGUUCGGUCCCUAUCUGCCGUGGGCGCUGGAGAACUGAGGGGGGCUGCUCCUAGUACGAGAGGACCGGAGUGGACGCAUCACUGGUGUUCGGGUUGUCAUGCCAAUGGCACUGCCCGGUAGCUAAAUGCGGAAGAGAUAAGUGCUGAAAGCAUCUAAGCACGAAACUUGCCCCGAGAUGAGUUCUCCCUGAGACUUAGAGUCUCCUGAAGGAACGUUGAAGACGACGACGUUGAUAGGCCGGGUGUGUAAGCGCAGCGAUGCGUUGAGCUAACCGGUACUAAUGAACCGUGAGGCUUAACCUUACA